GGGGCUUUAGCUCAGUUGGGAGAGCGCCUGCCUUGCAAGCAGGAGGUCAUCGGUUCGAUCCCGUUAAGCUCCA
RNAcentral lists this transfer RNA (73 nucleotides) under Ligilactobacillus agilis. RNAcentral describes it as "tRNA-Ala". It matches the Rfam family "tRNA". Rfam says of the family: Transfer RNA (tRNA) molecules are approximately 80 nucleotides in length. Their secondary structure includes four short double-helical elements and three loops (D, anti-codon, and T loops). Further hydrogen bonds mediate the characteristic L-shaped molecular structure. tRNAs have two regions of fundamental functional importance: the anti-codon, which is responsible for specific mRNA codon recognition, and the 3' end, to which the tRNAs corresponding amino acid is attached (by aminoacyl-tRNA synthetases). tRNAs cope with the degeneracy of the genetic code in two manners: having more than one tRNA (with a specific anti-codon) for a particular amino acid; and 'wobble' base-pairing, i.e. permitting non-standard base-pairing at the 3rd anti-codon position. Lineage: Bacteria; Bacillati; Bacillota; Bacilli; Lactobacillales; Lactobacillaceae. The record is from RNAcentral.